Molecule: unclassified non-coding RNA, 69 nt
Organism: Cricetulus griseus (Chinese hamster)
Lineage: Eukaryota; Metazoa; Chordata; Mammalia; Rodentia; Cricetidae
Product: predicted gene, 27337
Source: Ensembl
UAGAUAGAUGUGCGUGGUCAGCUCGCCGGUCAUGUUAACAAGUCUCAUCAUAAAGAUGAGAAUGAUAAG